This 1263-nucleotide long non-coding RNA is filed under the name Sus scrofa (pig). RNAcentral describes it as "lncRNA (ENSSSCG00070007246.1)". Lineage: Eukaryota; Metazoa; Chordata; Mammalia; Artiodactyla; Suidae. The record is from RNAcentral.
GUGUUAGCUGGCCCAUGAAGACACAGUUAUCCUGUGCCCUAUGGAGUUUCCUUAUUCCCAUGUUAGGGCCUCUCCUUCUGGCACAGUUCAGUUGUUGGUGGCAAGGAGAGAGACAUGAAGGGAUGGACUGGGAGAUGUGUGUUCCAGGACGAAGGAAAAAGAUUCCACAUAUAAUUGAUAUCAUAUCCAAGGAAAACCUAAUUGGAAAAGAUACAUGCACCCCAAUGUUCAUUACAGCACUGUUUAUGAUAACCAAAACAUGAAAGCAACCUAAAUGUCCAUCAACAGAGGAAUGGAUAAAGAAGAUGUGGCACAUAUAUGAACUACAUAAAUGAAAUACUACUCAGCCAUAAAAAAUGAUGAAAUAAUGCCAUUUGCUACAACAUGGUUGGACCUAGAGAUGAUCAUAGUGAGUGAAGUAAGUCACACAGAGAAAGACAAAUAUCAUAUCAUAUAUCACAUUCUAAUGCUCAGGGUGUUUAGGAGCAAGGACAGUGCUUAGCAGAGAAUCUUGCUAAACAGGGAGAGGAAAAAAUUAUUAAGCAUUUACUCAGUGCCAGGAAUUGUGGUGGGUGCCUUACGUCUGUAGUGGACACUGAGGUUAACGUUAUGACUUUCAAUCCAAGCCUGCCUUUGAGCAGCAACAAAGGAAUGGUUUCUAAACAGCCUAAUCCCCUCAAAGGAGAUUCAUUCCCUUGCCUGGUGGUGGUGGUGGGUGGGAGGGCAGCUUCUAGAAUCCAGGUUUAAGCCAAUCAGAGCAUUGCACUCCCCUAAUGAGUGGAUAGAUUAAGGCUGGGCCUGAGAUCUAAACUGGGCAUUCAUACAGAAAGGAAAGAUUCUUUCCAUUUAGGGGCAUGAGGCCAAAGCUCUGGGCAGCAGAUGCAUGCAAGCAUAUAGAUCCUUAGUGCCAGAGAGUCGUUAAAUCCAUCAACCAAACCUAAACUGAGCUGAGCAGACAUCCUCCACUCCCUCCCCAUACCUUUCUCAGCUUGCUCUCUGCUCUGAAAGGCUGACUUGUCUGGACUGUGUGGUUGCGCUCUCUUGUCCUCUGGCUCUUGGGGAACAUGGGCAGGAUGUGGAAAGAGGGAGCAGGGUAAGACUCUGCAUACUCAUUCUGAGAUAAUCCCCUGUUUGGAGCAUCUUCUUCUGUGAGAUGACACCCUCCCUUACUAUUUAAACUGGUCUGAAUUAUGUUUAUUCGUUAUUUACAGUAACACAUGUACCCACAAACAUAUGUUAUCUCUUGUAAACUUCAGGAGAAGU